Molecule: long non-coding RNA, 195 nt
Organism: Haemorhous mexicanus (house finch)
Lineage: Eukaryota; Metazoa; Chordata; Aves; Passeriformes; Fringillidae
Exons: 3
Source: RefSeq, a predicted model, not a curated record
CAGAUCUCUAUUAUUUUGAAGAAAUCCACAUUUGUCCUGCAGACAGUGUAGGGAGAAGUUAUUCCUCACUGUAGUGGCAUCAGAAGAUACCCUCAGCGGGAUUACGUUAUAUGAAUGAGUUUGAUAGGAGUCACCAUGGUGAGGAAAGGAUAAUGGAAUUUCAGGUCUGUGCUGGUCUGCAUUAAUUAAAUGUAG